RNAcentral lists this long non-coding RNA (1531 nucleotides) under Brachypodium distachyon (stiff brome). RNAcentral describes it as "long non-coding RNA (BDIS_LNC003419)". Lineage: Eukaryota; Viridiplantae; Streptophyta; Magnoliopsida; Poales; Poaceae. The record is from RNAcentral.
UGGAAGGAACUUUUGCUUGGACAGCGUACGUAAGCACAGUGCAGCAUAAUUUUGACUGAGCACCUUCGGCUCUUUUAGCAACGUCGACUUGAUCAAUCUUGCUGCAAACGAUCGUGCUUUCCCUUUGGAUGGUGCGGCCGGCUGCAAAUGAUCGUGUCUGGGGGUUUGGCAGUUGGCACUGCCUGCUAGUAGCCUCCUCCUAGCUUCCCUUUCCAUUCAUACGGAGACAUAUGUACGUGACGAAUGUAAACAGCGAUCGACGUACUCCUACAUCACAGCAUCCCGACAAGGCUACAAGAAACAUUGCCAAAAUGUCACGUGUGAGAUUUCCGUAAAAUUCUUGUCUCAUCUAGUCGCCUAGGAACAAAUUCAACUAUUGUUUUCCCCUAGGAGGCUCGAGCUAGCAGUCUAAUCUCGACAUCAACAGGUAGUAUGGAGGUAGGUUGUUUUGUUUAGUGAAGGAUAUGAUAAGAUGCGCUUUAUUAGGCAAUGAUAGCGCAUCCAAUCCACUCAUGCGCCAAGUUCCGCGUGGACCGAACGAGGGUUUGAUGGUUGAUCGAGUGUAAAACAUCACUGGGUAUUCCCUCCAAAACUGCGGGUCGUCGUGUUCUUCACAGGGACUAGGCGAUCUACAAUUGAGUUAGGACUAAAGCUAGGUGAAUCAAUCAUAAAGGGUAAUAUUUGAACCAAAAAUAAAGACAACAAUGCAGCAAUGAACAAUAUUUUUGUGAUUUUCGUUAAUAGAAGUAGCAGUGGACAGAAAUUAAUUACUAGGCACCCAAAUUAAUCACAAGCAAACAUAUAAGAAAGAAGAAGCAAGUUGUUUGGGAAAGGGAUAUAGUACAUAACAUGGCAGCACACACAUAUAUAUUAUGACAGAAGAUUAAACCACACUCACUUGUACAAAGCAUAAACAGAUCUCAGAACAAGUACAAUUAUGUAGUCACAAUCUCAGGUGAUGAUGCAAUAGCUCACACAAAUCCAUCACAAUUCAAGAACUAGACAAGAUUAGCAGAGGAGAAGACAUGGAUAGAAUGAAAUUUGUUCCUAAUCCAUGUGAGCAUUACAACGAACACUUUGCAAUCGGAAUCAAGUUCUCCACGCAAUUCACAGAAACAACAAGGAAAGAAGGAGAAAAGGGAGGGAUUAGAUGGGGAUUAACCCAAGGUGAAGGAGCAGCACAAGUUGGAGAAGGGGAAGAAACUUAGGUUGUUCUUCGUGCUCGCCGGAGUCACUUGUUCUUCGCCGGAGAAGGGAAGAAGCUCAGCAGCUUGGCGAAUCAUGGAGGAGCUGCAGCUUGCUGUUGAUGUAGACGAGGAGAUGGGCUGCAGCUGCUGCCCUGCGACGUGGAGGAGAGGCAGCAGCAGGUCGGGGGCACGGGGCAGCAGCAAACUUGGUGGCACGGCGCGUCGCCGGCCUGGCCGCCGCGGCGGCCGCUGGUGGAGCAGCAGCAGGGAGAGGGAGGGGAAGUAUGGCAGGCCUGAGGCUUCGUACGUGAAUAGUUAGGGAUUUCAAUCCCCACUCCUCUGGC